Molecule: long non-coding RNA, 1239 nt
Organism: Toxorhynchites rutilus septentrionalis
Lineage: Eukaryota; Metazoa; Arthropoda; Insecta; Diptera; Culicidae
Exons: 4
Source: RefSeq, a predicted model, not a curated record
UUUCAUAGAUUUUCGAGCGGUUAUAAGCACGGUGUCGACCAAACGACGAAAAGUGCUACAAAAGUGCUGGAAUAUUACUCCGCGUUGCCUUCCGCAGGCAGCACUGCCUACAGUUUUAGCUAUAAUUGUACGCGAUUAUUUGGGCUGAGUGAAACGGCAUCUCUGCUGCGAUAGCUUUUCCCUUUCUCCCUAGAUUGUCAGUUGAGUAAACAAGAGAGAUCGCAUAACAAGCAGAAAUCUUCGGGUUUGCUCAUUACGAUGCAUUUACUUGGAAAUCUCGUCUUCGGUAAUGGAGAUUCUACCUCACACAAAAAUCGGGAUACGAAGAUUGUUCUCAUGUGUUUUGGUUUAUCUAAUCGUUCAGUUGAAUUAAAACUCACUUUUUCGUUCCUGAAAGCGUCACGGAAUAUGCCUUUCGUCAGAGCUGCAGUAGCAGACGCAAGCCGAUUCAGCCAAAUAAUUCACAAAAGUAAAACUUUUCAAAAUUAAUCCAGCAGCAGCGAAUCUUUAACGAGUAUACCAAGAGGAAGCUGCCAUCACAUAUGAAGUCAUUCCAAUUUUUCUUGCGUGGAAGCAACUUAAAGUUAUGCGAAUUAUUGAUGGUAUAUGGAAAUAUUUGAACUUUGGAGAGUUCCACGAAUUUAGGAAAUAUAAAUUAUUACACACAGAGAAAUGAUUGCUUUCGUAUGCGUAAGUGGGAAUGUAGUUCAUUUGGGUGGCCUUUUUCAAGGAUGAAAAGGUAUUAUUAUUGGUAAAUUUCUAAAUAUGUACCAACCUUCGGUAAUCUACUCGAUGUUGUUUUUUCCAUAAUAUGGUCAUAUUACACGCUCUGGAAUAGUAUUGAUGGACAUUGGCAUGGAUGAUAAUUUUUUUAAGAUGGCGAACUCUUGUGGUUUAUUCUCUGUGCGGAACACUGAAUGAGCAACUGCUCCAAAAUUGUUCUCGGUAGGGUCUUUUCUAUGAUGAUGUUCCUGCAGGCAAAACAUACGAUAAUUCUCCAGUGCAAAUAUAGUUAAAAAACUUUCCUUUGGAUUCCUAGUUUGAACUACGGAAGAUCGAGAACUAGAGAUUCGAUCGCUAAAAGUGAAAUCCCGAUUCCACUUAUAGAUUAUUUGAAAAAUUACAUCUAAGUUUAUGCUAGCAAUUGGAUAACCCAAAACUCAAUGGCCAAUAAUAGAAUUAGUAAUGCAAAUGGUUUAUGGUAUAUGUAUAUAUUUUCAGUGCAAAAAAUAAAUAUUU